Molecule: ribosomal RNA, 263 nt
Filed under: uncultured bacterium
Lineage: Bacteria
Description: partial 16S ribosomal RNA
Rfam family: Bacterial small subunit ribosomal RNA
Source: RNAcentral
CGUUAGCGGCGGACGGGUGAGUAACGACGUGGUAACUGCCUUAUACAGGGGGAUAACAGUUAGAAAUGACUGCUAAUACCGCAUAAGCGCACGGGAACGCAUGUUUCUGUGUGAAAAACUGAGGUAGUAUAAGAUGGACCCGCGUCUGAUUAGCUAGUUGGUGGGGUAACGGCCUACCAAGGCGACGAUCAGUAGCCGGCCUGAGAGGGUGACCGGCCACAUUGGGACUGAGACACGGCCCAAACUCCUACGGAAGGCAGCAG